Molecule: ribosomal RNA, 567 nt
Filed under: Boana xerophylla
Lineage: Eukaryota; Metazoa; Chordata; Amphibia; Anura; Hylidae
Description: partial large subunit ribosomal RNA
Rfam family: Bacterial large subunit ribosomal RNA
Source: RNAcentral
CGCCUCUUGAGAAAUAUAAGAGGUCCAGCCUGCCCAGUGACCUAGUUCAACGGCCGCGGUAUCCUAACCGUGCGAAGGUAGCGUAAUCACUUGUUCUUUAAAUAAGGACUAGUAUGAAUGGCACCACGAGGGUUUAACUGUCUCCUUUUUCUAAUCAGUGAAACUAAUCUCCCCGUGAAGAAGCUGGGAUUUUUUUAUAAGACGAGAAGACCCUAUGGAGCUUUAAACUAUUUUACACCUGCUGCCCACAAACCAACUUCCAGAAAUUAACCCUAAAGCAUAGCACUUUGAUUAAUAGUUUUUGAUUGGGGUGAUCGCGGAGUAAAAAAUAACCUCCACGACGAAAGGAUUUUUCCUGAGCCAUAAGCCACAGCUUUAAGCACUAAUAUUAUUAACGGCUAUUGACCCAAUAAUUUUGAUCAACGAACCAAGUUACCCUAGGGAUAACAGCGCAAUCCACUUCAAGAGCUCCUAUCGACAAGUGGGUUUACGACCUCGAUGUUGGAUCAGGGUAUCCUAGUGGUGCAGCCGCUACUAACGGUUCGUUUGUUCAACGAUUAAAACCCU